RNAcentral lists this ribosomal RNA (426 nucleotides) under uncultured prokaryote. RNAcentral describes it as "bacterial SSU rRNA". It matches the Rfam family "Bacterial small subunit ribosomal RNA", at positions 357 to 774 of the family's 1533-position model. The record is from RNAcentral.
GAGAAUCUUCCGCAAUGGGGGAAACCCUGACGACGCGACGCCGCGUGGAGGAUGAAGGCCUUCGGGUUGUAAACUCCUGUCAGCAGGGGAGAACAAGCUUUUGAUGAAUAAUCGAGAGCUUUGACAGUACCUGCAGAGGAAGCCACGGCUAACUCUGUGCCAGCAGCCGCGGUAAUACAGAGGUGGCAAGCGUUGUUCGGAUUUAUUGGGCGUAAAGGGUCCGUAGGCGGCCUGAAAAGUUGGAUGUGAAAUCCCACAGCUUAACUGUGGAACUGCAUUCAAAACUUUCAGGCUCGAGUGUGAUAGGGGUAAAGGGAAUUCCCGGUGUAAGGGUGAAAUCUGCAGAGAUCGGGAGGAACACCAGUCGCGAAGGCGCUUUACUGGAUCACUACUGACGCUGAGGGACGAAAGCCAGGGGAGCAAACG